Molecule: ribosomal RNA, 490 nt
Filed under: uncultured bacterium
Lineage: Bacteria
Description: bacterial SSU rRNA
Rfam family: Bacterial small subunit ribosomal RNA
Source: RNAcentral
GAACGCUGGCGGCAUGCCUUACACAUGCAAGUCGAACGGCAGCACGGGAGCAAUCCGUGGUGGCGAGUGGCGAACGGGUGAGUAAUGUAUCGGAACGUACCUUCAGUGGGGGAUAACGUAGCGAAAGUUACGCUAAUACCGCAUAUUCUGUGAGCAGGAAAGCAGGGGAUCGCAAGACCUUGCGCUGAUUGAGCGGCCGAUAUCAGAUUAGCUAGUUGGUGAGGUAAAGGCUCACCAAGGCGACGAUCUGUAGCGGGUCUGAGAGGAUGAUCCGCCACACUGGAACUGAGACACGGUCCAGACUCCUACGGGAGGCAGCAGUGGGGAAUUUUGGACAAUGGGCGCAAGCCUGAUCCAGCCAUGCCGCGUGAGUGAAGAAGGCCUUCGGGUUGUAAAGCUCUUUCAGCCGGGAAGAAAACGCAUGGGUUAAUACCCUGUGUGGAUGACGGUACCGGAAUAAGAAGCACCGGCUAACUACGUGCCAGCAGCC